Long non-coding RNA from Dalotia coriaria, 828 nucleotides. RefSeq lists it as uncharacterized. The transcript is spliced from 2 exons. The record is from RefSeq and is a predicted model, not a curated record. Lineage: Eukaryota; Metazoa; Arthropoda; Insecta; Coleoptera; Staphylinidae.
UUUAGGGUGAGUAGGUUAUUAGCCUUCUGCACCCGAGUUUGGUGCUGGGGCUGCCAGCUGGAGCGUCCAAACCCGCCUCAGUGUACCUGGAUGUUUGACGAUGUUGUUGAUGUCCCGCACUUGACGUGGUGAAAGUGAGGUUAUACCGCCUCAUAUUCGGUCGCCAGAGCCUCGUUUGUCGAAAUCAGGGCGCACCACGUGAAGGGAGGUUGGCAGUUGGCACCCACGGCCCUUGCGCCCCAUACUCAAUUAUAAACAAAAGAUAUUCUCCCCUUUGUACAAACAAUGGAUUAUAUUUUUGUAAUAUCAUACAGUGUCAUGAGCAUAUCCAGUGAUGAAUAUUUACUGUAUAUUCCUUUUUUGAACCAGUUUAUGUUGAGAUGCAAAGAUGUUGGUUUAAUGAUUAAAUGGGAAUGGGAUACGUUUUGGACCGUAAAUAAAAUGGCUACAAUAAUUGGAUAUUUGGACAGUCGUGUGCCACCGAGUAAGCCUACCCAGUUGCAGUUUGAUCAUCUGCGUGCAGUAUUUGCACCACCCAAAAUAUGAAUACAAAUAUGGCGUUGAAGACCAUCAUACACAUGACUUGAAAUCUGCUGAAGAGGAACGCGACGGAGAUGUUGUCAAGGGAUGGUACAAACUGGAGCAGCCCGAUGGCAGGACUCGUAUUGUUCAUUACACCGCUGACAAACACAAUGGAUUCAACGCUGAUGUCAAAUAUUCCGGUCACGCUGAUCAUCCUUAUCAUUAUUAAUCGAUUAUAUGUAAUGAAUUAUUUAGUGCAAGAUAUGCUUUAUAUUUUCUAAUAAAAUUUCAUUAACAGCAAAGAAA